UAGAAUGCCUGCCUGUCACGCAGGAGGUCGCGGGUUCGAGUCCCGUCCAGACCG
This is a transfer RNA of Carnobacterium divergens DSM 20623, 54 nucleotides long. It matches the Rfam family "tRNA", at positions 19 to 71 of the family's 71-position model. Rfam says of the family: Transfer RNA (tRNA) molecules are approximately 80 nucleotides in length. Their secondary structure includes four short double-helical elements and three loops (D, anti-codon, and T loops). Further hydrogen bonds mediate the characteristic L-shaped molecular structure. tRNAs have two regions of fundamental functional importance: the anti-codon, which is responsible for specific mRNA codon recognition, and the 3' end, to which the tRNAs corresponding amino acid is attached (by aminoacyl-tRNA synthetases). tRNAs cope with the degeneracy of the genetic code in two manners: having more than one tRNA (with a specific anti-codon) for a particular amino acid; and 'wobble' base-pairing, i.e. permitting non-standard base-pairing at the 3rd anti-codon position. Lineage: Bacteria; Bacillati; Bacillota; Bacilli; Lactobacillales; Carnobacteriaceae. The record is from Rfam.